AUGAUCGCUAACGGUAAGCAUCGAAAGAAGAGGAUCUUUCAGCUUGAGCAAGAUGAGGGUAUGAUUGUAGGACAGGAAAACCUAAAAUUGUACAUUACCAAGUAUUACAAGCAGCUGUUUGGCCCUCCAGAAGAGAACUGUGUGUCUCUGGACGAGUCAAGGGUUGAGGAUAUUCCUCAGCUCACAGCGGUGGAGAAUGAUAUUCUUACAGCUCCUUUCUCGGAGAAAGAGGUGCUGGAGGCCAUCGCGCAAAUGAAGAAUAACAAAGCACCGGGUCCUGAUGGUUUCCCAGCUGAAUUUUAUAAGAAGUGCUGGCAUAUCAUUAAAGGGGAUUUGUUGCCUAUGUUUAAUGAUUUGUUUGCUGGACAGCUUCAUAUUUUUCAACUCAAUUUUGGAACGAUUACCCUUCUUCCUAAGAAAACAAAGGCUGUGAAAAUUGAGCAAUUCAGGCCAAUCUGUCUUCUUAAUGUUAGUUCCAAAAUUUUCACCAAGGUCGGGACCAAUAGACUCACACAGAUUGCGCAUACUAUUGUGCAGCCUACCCAAUCUUCUUUCAUGCCGGACAGGAAUAUCCUUGAGGGGUUAGUGGUCCUUCAUGAAACGCUCCAUGAAAUCCACACGAAAAAACUGGAUGGGGUUGUUUUCAAAGUGGAUUUCGAAAAAGCGUACGACAAAGUCAAAUGGCCAUUCCUUCAACAGGCCUUGCGUAUGAAGGGUUUUGAUGAGGCUUGGCGACGCCAGGUAGAAUCCUUUACGCAAAAAGGGAGUGUUGGAAUUAAAGUAAAUGAUGAUAUUGGGCACUAUUUCCAAACACACAAGGGUCUGAGGCAAGGAGAUCCAAUGUCCCCUGUUUUGUUCAACAUUGUGGUUGACAUGUUGGCAAUUCUAAUAGGUCGGGCAAAGGAGGCCGGUCAGGUGGGAGGCCUGGUGCCCAACCUAGUUGAUGGGGGGUGUCCAUUCUGCAGUACGCUGAUGAUACAAUCAUCUUUAUGGAGCAUGACCUGGCAAAAGCGAGAAAUAUGA
This 1023-nucleotide ribosomal RNA is filed under the name Triticum aestivum (bread wheat). RNAcentral describes it as "partial small subunit ribosomal RNA". Lineage: Eukaryota; Viridiplantae; Streptophyta; Magnoliopsida; Poales; Poaceae. The record is from RNAcentral.